Molecule: transfer RNA, 74 nt
Filed under: Bacteriophage sp.
Also listed under: 1 other name
Description: tRNA-Arg
Source: RNAcentral
GCCCCAAUAGCUCAAGAGGAAAGUAGCACAUCUCUCCUAAAGAUGGUAUCCACGUUCGAGUCGUGGUUGGGGUA